Molecule: long non-coding RNA, 1625 nt
Filed under: Olea europaea subsp. europaea
Lineage: Eukaryota; Viridiplantae; Streptophyta; Magnoliopsida; Lamiales; Oleaceae
Source: RNAcentral
AUUGAAUACACGGUUGUUGAUUAAGUUGCAUUAACCAUGUUUUGAUGAUUGGAAGUUGAAUAAUUAAUUUACACAUAGUUGCUGUAAAGUUUAACUUAAAGAAGGGUCAAAAUAUGAAGUGUGUGGUUGCGGGGGAGUAAACUGGUUUGAUCUUGCACCAUUUAACUAGGGAACUGCUUCAUGCAGUUUGUGGUUUCGUCUGACCUAGGUGGUGAACCUGAGCAUAAUCGACCUUUUUUAACUAGGCAACUACUACAUGAAAUUUGGGUUAUUGUUCCCUUGGAACAUUAGCAUGAACUGUGGCUGUUUAUUGACUUGAUGUUGCAACUUAUUCAGUACUCUGGUUUAUAGCUAAUAACCUAAUACGGAUAGGUGAGAUUUAGUCAUACUUGUUUAAAUUGGGAGGUUACAGUUUCAGUGGAUCAUACCAUAGAUUCUUAACUUUCCAUUUCAUAUUGUAAGUUUCCUCUUUCUUUGACAGUUUUUUUUUUAGCACUCGAAGUCCAUAUCCUUGAUAUGGCAAUGAAAACAAACAAAGCUUUAUAAUCAAAAUGUGUAUCGAAUCUAUUUUGCACCUCCAUCUGAUUCAUUGCUGCUUACAGGAGUUCAUGUCCCAGCUACUGCAAUCAUAACAAGUAGUCAUGCACCAUAAUAUAGCAAAACGAAUUUUGAUAACAUCCUAUGUUACAUGGUAAGUUCCAUUGGAUAGAAUUCUCAACGUACUAAUUCUCUAGACAGCAUGAAACAUAGUUUUGUUCUUCUGUAAUUCAUGAUUCGCAUAUUGAACCAGUAAAGCAAAAGUUCUCUAAUGAUUUUGACAUUGAACAAUUUUAAGUGAUCUUGUUUCUCUUCUGCUCAGGAUUAUGCCAAUUAAACUUCCAGUGGUACCAAUCAAUUGGAGAAAGGACAUAGCGCUUUCAUAGAUGAAACAUGUUGUAAGCUUGAUUUGUUGAUCCUGAUAACGAUAGUGAUAUGCAGGACAAACAUGGUUAUAGCUUGUCCAAGUUGAAAAGAAAUAGUUCAUUUGGUCUCAGAUGCUAUGAGAAAAUAAUUUAAAAAGAAUAGAAGCAGCAAUGGAACAGGUCGAUAAUCGAACACAGGUAACAAUCUUCUCCUAUAAAUUUGUUUGUGCUAAAUAGCUAUAGUAAUGUAGGAUAUUGAUAAUAUUAGUGUUACAGGAAUAGCUGCAGCCAGUCUUGGAAAAUCAUCAACGAUGCUGUACAGCUAGCUAAACUGUACAAUAUGCUAUUUAUUCAACCACAUGGUGGGUUCACACCACAACACACUUGGACAUUGCAAUACCACUUUUGGACAUGGAAUGGUGCUAACCUUAUAGUCUCUGAUAAAUCACAAACAACAAUUGAAAUGCCAUUCAAGAAUUUCUUACCAAAUCUGAAAUUUGUUGUAUUACAUGGAAUAAAUCUCAAUUAAAAUGUAAUGGGUUCUAUUUCGGUAAUCCUAGUGGCUCUCACACUAAAUUUCAAGUUUUGGUGCAUGUUUGUGUAUGAAUUUCUAUUUAUUUUCGUCAUAUGUAGUUUCUUUCUCUUAUAGUUAAUAGGAUAUCGAGAAAAGUUUGGUGGAGUUAGAAGUUUGAAUCUAAACUUUUAGCCCUUGUUUGAGCCCCA